RNAcentral lists this ribosomal RNA (324 nucleotides) under Triticum aestivum (bread wheat). RNAcentral's name for it is "partial small subunit ribosomal RNA". Lineage: Eukaryota; Viridiplantae; Streptophyta; Magnoliopsida; Poales; Poaceae. The record is from RNAcentral.
AUGUCUGUACUCUCUGAAAGACGCAGCAUGAACCCAAGGCGAAAACUGUUCUUGGGCACCUUGAAAUCUUCAUAUAUGAAGGAUAGCAUGGCCUCCAGUCCACGCUCCUCAAAGGCCAUAGGAUCGUAUGCCGAAGUACUGAUACUGGCCUCCCGUAUGCAUCACCAUAUACCGCAGCGUUUUGCCUGUGAAGAUAUGCCUGAUGAGAGGGUCGAAGAACAGGGGCUGUCGAGGUGUUCCACCGAGCUGCACACAUCGAAUGAACUCUGUAGCACCAUCAGCAAACCUCUCGAAUCUUCGAACGGCGGCGGUGAUGCUGCCUGA